UCCAUGGUGGCAACGGCAUUGGUAAGAUCUCACCUUGCUUUUUUACUUGGAUUUAUAGCCUGGGUUUGUUGGUGAAGUAAUGAUCGAAGGAGAUAUUAAAUUGUUGUCUGUGAUAGCAAAUGGCUUGCCUACAACAGAGGACUUUAAGCAUGUCACUGAUUUGGAAAUAUUGAAGGUUCCACCUGCCCCCAUGGAUAAAUUCCUUUAUCUUUUUAUUGGGUUAAUCUCUACAGCAAAUAAUUUUAAACGUAGAAUGGUGGUUCGUAUAACUGGGGUAUCAUGCGUGGGUAGUGACCACCUUAUUGAAGAUCCUUCUUCCUGUUUUGAUUGCAUUUUCGUUCACUAUGUAUCUUUUUAUUCUAGAAUUACAGCUCCUCACUUCGUGGUCAAUACUUAUGUGCCUCUUUUGCUGCCUUUGAUAAAAGCAUAAAAAUAAGGUGGUGAACGAGGAGCUCUCGAAUGAAGCACAAACAUAUGGAGACAUCGAGUUGCGUCUGUUUGUUGAUUAUUAUAACAAGUGGUACAUAAAUUCAUAUGUAUCUUUUUAUGGCACAGGGAAACUCUUUGCGUGACGGAAACUAAAAAAACUAAUGAUGGAAACUUACUACCACUGGCGUUUUGGAUGGCCAUGUGUACUAUUAUCAUUUAUCAUGUUGCAGAUGCUUAGCAAAUGCCUUCGUAGCUAUCUGUUCUUAAUCGUCUGAUUUCUUGCUCCUUUCACUUAUGUAAGAAUGGCAAGUUAUCCCCCAUGGGCAAUAGACCAGGAUAAAUUGUAUGUCAGGAUAUAGCAAAAGAAGUUUACAGGAAACACAAAAGAGGGGAGCAAAAGAUUUUCAAGCUGGAGGAUGUCCUCCAAGAUGAAGAAUGAAAGCUUUGAUGUCAAGUA
This is a long non-coding RNA of Triticum dicoccoides, 886 nucleotides long. RefSeq lists it as uncharacterized. Lineage: Eukaryota; Viridiplantae; Streptophyta; Magnoliopsida; Poales; Poaceae. The record is from RefSeq and is a predicted model, not a curated record. The transcript has 2 exons.